CCUCAGCCCUAGUGCCGACCCAUAUUUUCUCUGCCCUAGCCGAAUCUUGAAGGUCACGGAUUGGUGAGGUUUUAUAUAUUGUGGGGUGUUUUUGAUUUCGGCAGUAACCCCAUCCUGCAGCAGUAAGGUACCAGGUUAUUUAUGGUGUCGCUUGGAGCAUCCUGUCUGCUGGUCCCCACGUCAC
Molecule: long non-coding RNA, 184 nt
Organism: Zingiber officinale
Lineage: Eukaryota; Viridiplantae; Streptophyta; Magnoliopsida; Zingiberales; Zingiberaceae
Exons: 3
Source: RefSeq, a predicted model, not a curated record